UGGCCAGCAGCUACUAACUACUGGGGCUUGCGUCUGCGUCCGUCCUGGUAUCCGUGUGAAUGGCCCGGUACCGUUCUCAGUGCCCGGUGUACACAGCGGCUGACAAGACCGGGAAAGAAGUGAGCAGCUCAACUGUCAUGAACUGGGGUGACAGGGGCAGAAACGGCCUUUAAUUUGCUUCCUCGUUCGCUGAGUUACAGUGAAGAACCGUUUCUUCGGGGACCUUGGCUGCUGGACCUCAGGUCCACAGAUAAACUUUCUCAGAGCCUUGCGGCCCCUGACCCACACGCGCGAGAGCAGGAGGGCGCACCCGAGGUCUCGCGAUAGCCGAGGUGGCCCUUCGGUGACGCCGUAGGCGGGGUCGGCGGGCGCGUUCCUCUGGGCGGGCGGUUUGGGUGCUUGCUUGGACCGGCAGAGGGCGCGGGGGUCCGGGGUUCGGGGCUCGCCCCCGCUCCGGGCAGGCGCGCCUAUGGCGUUUAGAAGGUGACGCUGCGCUCACCGACUUUCUCCGGGGGCGGAGGAAGCACCCAUGAACCCUUCGGCGACCUUCCUCUCCGGGCGCCAGAACAUCGGGUCAGAAGUUGAGAUUUCCACUAUUGAGAAACAACGAAAAGAGCUGCAACUGCUCAUUGGAGAAUUAAAAGAUCGCGAUAAAGAGCUCAAUGAUAUGGUUGCAGUACAUCAGAGACAACUUCUUUCAUGGGAAGAGGAUCGGCAGAAAGUAUUGACUUUGGAAGAACGUUGCAGCAAAUUAGAGGGUGAACUACAUAAAAGAACUGAAAUAAUCAGGUCACUCACCAAGAAGGUAAAAACCCUUGAAUCCAAUCAAAUCGAAUGCCAAACCGUUCUUCAGAAGACUCAGCUACAACUUCAGGAAAUGGUUCAAAAGGCAACCCAUUCCUCUCUCCUCUCUGAAGACCUUGAGGCAAGAAAUGAAAAUCUCAGCAACACAUUAGUGGAACUUUCUGCUCAGGUAGGACAGUUACAAGCUCGAGAACAGGCUCUCACUACAAUGAUAAAGCUAAAGGACAAAGAUAUUAUCGAGGCCGUCAAUCACAUUGCAGACUGCUCAGGAAAAUUUAAACUGUUAGAGCAUGCCUUGCGAGACGCGAAGAUGGUGGAGACUUGUAUUGUGAAAGAAAAGCAAGAUUACAAGCAGAAAUUGAAGACACUUAAAAUUGAAGUCAAUAAACUGAAAGAGGAUCUAAAUGAAAAGACAACAGAAAAUAAUGAACAACGAGAAGAGAUCAUUCGCCUCAAGCAAGAGAAAAGUUGCCUGCAUGAUGAAUUGGUUUUUACUGCAGAGAGAGAAAAAAGGAAAGAUGAGUUACUUGAUAUUGCAAAGUCAAAGCAAGAACGUACCAGUGCAGAACUGCAUAAUCUCAGACAGAUUUAUGUAAAACAACAGAGUGAUCUGCAAUUUCUUAAUCUUAAUGUGGAAAAUUCUCAGGAAUUAAUACAGAUAUAUGACUCAAAGAUGGAGGAAUCAAAGGUUCUGGAGUCCAGCAGAGACAUGUGUUUGUCAGACCUUGAGAAUCACUGCCCAAAAGUCGAUAUUAAGAGGGAGAAAAAUCUGAAGUCAUUGGUUAAAGAUCCAAAAUUUGAGACCACGUUGAUUCAGCAAAAUCAGUCAGACAGGAGCCCAUGUGAUGUGUGCAAAGAGAAGAAACGACAGGGUAGUACUUCAUUUGGGGAAAAAAGUGUAAUUGCUAUCUCAUCUCUGUUUACAAAAGACUUACUGGAGAAGCAAAAGUCUUGGUCUCAGGGAGGAAAAAUGCAGAUCGAACCGGAAAACAAAAGUACAUUGUCCAAGAUCCACGCAAAGUCACCAAAAGGUAAUGGGAUCGGGAUUCAGAAUGAAGAGAAACAACUCUCUGAAACAUCCACGUCGUUAUCUGAUGAGAAACAGUGGCAUGAUGUCAGUGUGUACCUGGGCGUGGCCAGCUGUCCUGGGUCCAGACAACCAGACAAGCUGGAUGUUGAAAGUCAAGAUGACGUAGAAAGGUCCGGACUCUCCUGUUGCCAUAAAAAUGAAACCUGUCUGGGGGAGAGUGACAUGUAUGAAUCCAAGUGCUGCCACCCGAGUGACUUCAUCAUUGAAGCCCCAGGCCACAUGUCUGACAUGGAGUGGAUGAGCAUUUUCAAGCCUUCUAAAGUGCAAAGAAUUGUUCGCCACAAAUCUGUGUGUACUUGUUCAGAAAGUGCUGGUGGAAGGAAAUACAACUCCGCCACGAGUGAGCUAAUUGCCAUCCAGCAUUCCCACUGCGUGGGUCCUUCAAAAUCUGCCACAAGAGAGGAUGAGAAAUUAAUAGAGACAGAGCCCUUUUCUGAUACAAAGAACUCACCUAAGAUUUUGUUACUCAACAAAGAGGCACCAUUGUCCAGUGACAAGGAUGACUUUUCGCCCACAAGCAAGCUUCAGCGUUUGCUGGCAGAGUCUCGCCAGAUGGUUACGGACCUGGAGCUGAGUACUCUGCUCCCCAUCAGCUCUGAGAAUCUCAGCAGCAGUGCCAGAAAUAACUUAGAAGUCUCAGAAGAGUCAGCCCAGAAAAAUACCUUUCUUAGUAAUUGAAGAAAACAAAAGUCAACUUCACUGUUCACUGUGGUCAUAGAAGCCGAUCUCUCAUCCUUGGAAGGCAGGAAGCAGACAUCAAUACCUACUACUUAACCUUGAAAACAAAAAGGGGAUUGUAAUCCUUUGUAAGCAACACUUAAUACCAAAGGGAAGCAGAAACUGAAAGUUAAUUUUUCAACAUCUAUUAUUUUGUUUGUUUUCAAGUUGACCGUUUUCGUGUUGAAGAAGUUUUUUUUUUUUAUGGGCACGGCUCGUCUGUACAGAGGAAGUCUGAGAAAGGUACAGUUGAUUCUGAGCUGUUGGAAACCUAAAAUGUCCCUGGAGAGGCUCAUUUCCAGUCUGAGAAACAAAAUAUGAAAAUUUCUCCUCCUCUUUACGCUAGGUUUGUGGCUACGUGUCAGCUUGCCCAGUGAAAAGAGGAGAACACUAAUGAGAUGCUAACAAGUAGGAAAAUUUCGGGGAACUAAAGAAUGAAAAAAGUCAUAAAUUAUUUGGUGGCUAAAUGUAUUUGAGCUCAUAGGAUUAUCGUAUCUACAAUACCCAUUUUACCCCUCCACGUUAUUGUGAAUUAUAGUACAGACAACUAGUAAAUGGGGAAUCUUAAUACUGUUACAGCUUAUCUAUCUCAGCCUAAGUUAUUUAAGUAUGUGAGCGGUUUCUGUUCUCGGUGUGUUUGAAAGAGUUGUGAGAUAAAACUGAGCAUUUCUAUUUUGUCAUCAGCAUUCUUCCAUCUUAAGAGGAAUGGUACUGUAAUUCGCCUGCCAGAAAUUGUCUCAGCCAUUAGAAGAGACUGGUGUAAGGGUACUUUUAGAAUUUGUGGACAGAUCUUUGAAAUAGAAAUACCCCCAAAGAAAUAAAUUCUGAAUCAGUACAUAAACACUAAUAACAAUUUUACCUAAAAAGUUGUAGUAGAAAAGUGUGGUAUUGAGAGGCUCAGUGGGGUGAAGUUGGUUCAGAUGGUGAACACAUUAAUGUGAAGACACAUUAAUCAGGACCACAGCAGACAAGGUAGGUUAAAAACCAGAGUAGUCUUUGAGAGGAGUUUAUCAAAUGAGGAGGGCACAUUAAUCAGUCCUAUAAAGGAUGAUCACUGGGUUCUUAGCCAAAUGCACACUUAGGACAUCUAACAACAACAAUAACAAAAAAAAAUAAUUUGAGCACACAGUAAAUACUGCUUUGCUGGCCACUGGAGACACAACAGUGAGCAAAACAGACUGAAUCCUUGUUUACAGUGAAGGAGACAGACCUUAAUUAAAUAAUCAUAAAUAGGUCAUGAAAAUCUUGUAAGUGCUUUGAAAUAAAGCUUGGAGCUUCUGUGACAACACACAUCAGGGGCAUAUGUCAAAGGCGGAGGCUUCAGGGAAGGCUUCCCUGAACGAAGAGCUGAAAGAUAAGUAGAUGCUAACCAGCAAACAGGAAGAGGAAGAGCAUUCCUCACAAUGGUAACAGCAUACACAAAGGCCCUGGGGUGGAAAGGAGCAUGAUGCAUUUUCAGACCUGAUGGACUAGGAUGGCACAAGAAGAAGCUGGACAGAGAGGUAGGGCCAGAUCAUACACACGUGUCACUGAGGCAGUGUGGGGAUUGCAGCCCCAUCAUUUCAGUAAACCCAAUGAUGUAAACCCUACUGUUCAUCUUUCUUGGGUUUUCCUCAAAAUGAUGUAUUAUAACCCAAAUCCUUUGCCUUUGUAAGAGCCUUCGGGAAGCAUGAAACUGCCCUGGAGAUACACCAAAAUGGCACCCUGAUUCUGAUGACAUGGAGAAUCUCAGCCAACCAGUGACACAGCCAGUAGUAGAACCAGGUCUCCUGCCUGAAGGUGCUACCAGAGAUGAAUCUCGACAAAUUCAGACUGGGGAGGCUUCUGUCCUCGUGUCCCAGGCUGCUCGUUUUAUAAAACUAAGCCAUAUGUUGAAGUGUACCAAAUUAUGGGGGGUUAUUUACUCACUUUUUCAACCCUGUAUUUCACACAUGUUUAUUGAACAUUGCUAACGUGCCAGGCAUGUAGCAGAGUGCUAACUCUGCUAGGCACUGAGGUUAUAAAAUGGAGUAAGAUAGUGUGGUCCUUGCCCUCCAGGGGUUCAAAAGUUUACAUACAAGCAGAUAAAUUAUAAUUCACAAGAGAUAUUUUAGCAAAGUGCUCUCGGACCCCAGUAAAAAGAGAGGUAGUUGGUUGCUAAUGUUGUCACUGUGGCAGAUGUUCUGAACCCAGAGGGGUCAUUGCCUGGUUUGAAAGAAGAUGCUGUGUUAAGUAUGAAGUUCACAGGAUAACUUCCUUUUGUUCAGUGUGGAAAAAGGAGCCUGAGAAACAUCUGGUCUGGAGCCAGCAAGCCCCUUUACUGUGGUCUUUAUUUGACCACAGCUGUUGACUGGGGUGCUGGGGAUUAAAAAUGAAAUAGUUCAUGUGAAGGAUUUAGCUCAGGGCCUGGCAAAUAAUAAUACUAGCCAUUGUUAUUCUGGUAAAGAGACUUUUCGGGGAUUAGAAUUAGAUAAAGCAUGGUUAAUUUCUUUUUGGUGGAGUCCAAAGAUAGCCUUGUCAAAUUCAGCUUUCAAGUAUCCAGUGUCCGUUUUGGGGCAGGGAGAGAUUAAUCCAUGAAGUUACAGAAAGGGAGACCAGCUUCAGGGUUAUGUAGGCAUCACUGUCCUUCUUCAAGGGGAGUCUUUAGUACCUGUAUCGGGUGAUUUCACACCUAUAUUCUGAGGGGGAAACUGAGGAGAGCCAAAACAAAAUAACAAUUUAAUAGCAUACGCUAGGGAGAACUGUGGUAUAUAUAGAGAGAGAUAUAUUGAUAUAUAUAGAGAGAGAUGUAUAUCUCUCUCUCUAUAUUUUAUUACUUCAUUCUUGUGACGGAUAAUUUAAAAAGCAAGCCAAUAAUAACGUUUUUUAAAGACUCUCACGACCUCCUGUGGCGUCUUUUUUCGAUGCUCUUUGAUGACCCAGCACCACGUCGUGUUCAGAUCUGUCUGCAGGUUGUCCCGGCCCUGCCUGUCCUCUUUCCCUUGCAUUUCCUCGGCUCUGGCAAGGUGUCGGCAUGCGGAGCCUGCAGCCUCCGAAGAUUCAUCCCACAGCCCGCGUUGUUGACAGCCGCUGUUACGUGAGAGAUGCACAAAGGGGACGACGGCUUACUUGUAUGCGUUUUCACACAGAAAUUAAUAAAAGACUUGGGGCGCCUGGGUGGCACAGCGGUUAAGCGUCUGCCUUCGGCUCAGGGCGUGAUCCCAGCGUUGUGGGAUCGGAGCCCCACAUCAGGCUCCUCCGCUAUGAGCCU
Molecule: RNA transcript, 5840 nt
Organism: Ailuropoda melanoleuca (giant panda)
Lineage: Eukaryota; Metazoa; Chordata; Mammalia; Carnivora; Ursidae
Gene: CCDC62
Gene name: coiled-coil domain containing 62
Exons: 14
Source: RefSeq, a predicted model, not a curated record